RNAcentral lists this ribosomal RNA (507 nucleotides) under uncultured bacterium. Its description in RNAcentral is "partial 16S ribosomal RNA". It matches the Rfam family "Bacterial small subunit ribosomal RNA", at positions 29 to 523 of the family's 1533-position model. The record is from RNAcentral.
AUUGAACGCUGGCGGCAGGCCUAACACAUGCAAGUCGGACGGUAGCACAGAGGAGCUUGCUCCUCGGGUGACGAGUGGCGGACGGGUGAGUAAUGUCUGGGGAUCUGCCCGAUAGAGGGGGAUAACCACUGGAAACGGUGGCUAAUACCGCAUAACGUCGCAAGACCAAAGAGGGGGACCUUCGGGCCUCCCACUAUCGGAUGAACCCAGAUGGGAUUAGCUAGUAGGCGGGGGUAACGGCCCACCUAGGCGACGAUCCCUAGCUGGUCUGAGAGGAUGACCAGCCACACUGGAACUGAGACACGGUCCAGACUCCUACGGGAGGCAGCAGUGGGGAAUAUUGCACAAUGGGCGCAAGCCUGAUGCAGCCAUGCCGCGUGUAUGAAGAAGGCCUUCGGGUUGUAAAGUACUUUCAGCGGGGAGGAAGGCGAUGUGGUUAAUAAUCGCGUCGAUUGACGUUACCCGCAGAAGAAGCACCGGCUAACUCCGUGCCAGCCGCCGCGGUAA